This 253-nucleotide ribosomal RNA is filed under the name uncultured bacterium. Its description in RNAcentral is "partial 16S ribosomal RNA". It matches the Rfam family "Bacterial small subunit ribosomal RNA", at positions 524 to 776 of the family's 1533-position model. The record is from RNAcentral.
GACAGAGGGUGCAAACGUUGUUCGGAAUUACUGGGCGUAAAGGGCGCGUAGGCGGCCUUCUAAGUCGAACGUGAAAUCCCCGGGCUCAACCCGGGAACUGCGUCCGAGACUGGAAGGCUUGAAUCCGGGAGAGGGAUGUGGAAUUCCAGGUGUAGCGGUGAAAUGCGUAGAUAUCUGGAGGAACAUCGGUGGCGAAGGCGGCAUCCUGGACCGGUAUUGACGCUGAGGCGCGAAAGCCAGGGGAGCAAACGGG